AUGGAAAGAGGAGCAAAAGGGGAGACAGGAAAGGGGAGGAAAAGAGUCAACUGUAAAUUUGCAAACAUGCAUGUUACAUAUGUCCCAUGUUCAUGAUAAGGUAGAAACUUAACAGUUAAAUGCAUUAAAAUUAGACCCUACAUGUCAAAAAAUGAAAUGGAGAACACAGAGGCAUCUUGUGUGCAGCCUCUGUAAACCAGCCAGAGAUAGUCCAUGGUCAGUUGUCAAUUAUCAGAAAGAAAUGUAGGUCAGGUGCUGUGUGGAAAAUGGCAAAAGGGAGGAAAGUCCAGCAAGUCUUUCAGAAGGGGCUGGUUUCUGCUUAACCCUUAGGAAAGAAAGUCUAAUGGUGGUUAGUGAGGGAGGAUGUAUAAAGAAGCAUGUGUGAUCUCCCAUCUCGUCAUGGCUGGGAUCUCAGUUUCUAAGGUUUCUCUGGAGUCCCUUUGGCCAAGAUGAGUCCGUUCAGUCAGUUGGGGGACUUAGGAUUUUAUUUUUAUUUCUCAACAGCUACAUCCAAGGAAGCCAUCUCAAGUACAUACAAUGCACUGAAAACUUGGUCCUCAUGCUUAUGUGGAUGUCCUUUGUAUCCUGUGACACUCUCACACCUUUCAUCAAUUCAUAAAAAAGAACGUUAAAAAAAAAAAAAAGAUUUCUCUGCUUCCAAAUAGUAGAGAAGGAAACAGAGGGAAAAAAGUAACUUUACAAUGAAGACCGCUACACACUGCCUCAGCCAGGUGUAUUUUCAGAAUCACAUCUGCAGUUUUCAUGGAAAAUGCAUUGCUCGUUGGCUUCCCGACAAUGUUUGAGUAAUUGCCUCAUGUUUUCCAGCAAGCUGUGAGACCAACUCUGAGUACGGACAUAUAUCAAAAACAGAACCUAGCAAAUGCACUUUAGUAAGGCUCAUGUUUUACAUGUAAACACAUUGUCAAUUGUUGGAGAAACAUAAUUAAAAUGAAAUCUCCCAACCCGGAAAUCCUCUCCACAAAGAAAGAAGAGAAGGAGCAAGGAAAACAGAUGAAGAAGAAACAUUUAGUGAGGUUGGAAUGUGUUGUCCCCAGCAGCAGAAUGAAAAAGAUUGUAAAUAUACUAAACACUGCUGAGAAAUCAAGAAAGGUUGUCUUUUCGCUUGCUGACAAAUGACAUUUGAUGCAAAAA
RNAcentral lists this long non-coding RNA (1152 nucleotides) under Homo sapiens (human). RNAcentral describes it as "HSALNT0252664". Lineage: Eukaryota; Metazoa; Chordata; Mammalia; Primates; Hominidae. The record is from RNAcentral.